CUGUAUUUUCAUGGGUUGAAAUUUUGUUGCUAAUUGUUGUUGUUGUUGUUGUUGUUGCUAUUCGCUUUCGAUGGUUGUUUCUGGUUGUUGUUAGUUAUUGCUUAAUUGCUGCGAUGGUCUUGUUGGUUGUUGCUGGUUGUUACUGGUUGCUUUUGGUUGUCAAUGGUUGCCGACUUGCUGAUGGUUCUCGCUGGCUGUCCACAUUUGUCCGUGUUGUUUUCUGACACCAUGAUUGUGAUCUUUACUCCUUAUAAACCAAUUC
This is a non-coding RNA of Paramuricea clavata, 262 nucleotides long. NCBI's taxonomy places the organism in Eukaryota, Metazoa, Cnidaria, Anthozoa, Malacalcyonacea, Plexauridae. The record is from the annotation of a GenBank genome assembly.